CCUACGGGCGGCUGCAGUGGGGAAUAUUGGACAAUGGGGGGAACCCUGAUCCAGCCAUGCCGCGUGUGUGAAGAAGGCCCUCGGGUUGUAAAGCACUUUCAGUGAGGAAGAACGCCUGGUGGUUAAUACCCAUCAGGAAAGACAUCACUCACAGAAGAAGCACCGGCUAACUCCGUGCCAGCAGCCGCGGUAAUACGGAGGGUGCGAGCGUUAAUCGGAAUUACUGGGCGUAAAGCGCGCGUAGGUGGCUUGAUAAGCCGGUUGUGAAAGCCCCGGGCUCAACCUGGGAACGGCAUCCGGAACUGUCAAGCUAGAGUGCAGGAGAGGAAGGUAGAAUUCCCGGUGUAGCGGUGAAAUGCGUAGAGAUCAGGAGGAAUACCGGUGGCGAAGGCGGCCUUCUGGACUGACACUGACACUGAGGUGCGAAAGCGUGGGUAGCAAACAGGAUUAGAUACCCUGGUAGUC
Molecule: ribosomal RNA, 465 nt
Filed under: Vreelandella stevensii
Lineage: Bacteria; Pseudomonadati; Pseudomonadota; Gammaproteobacteria; Oceanospirillales; Halomonadaceae
Description: partial 16S ribosomal RNA
Rfam family: Bacterial small subunit ribosomal RNA
Source: RNAcentral